UCGGCCCUGGCCUGUUCGUGCCGGGCGGCCCGGUCGUCCAGGUGCAGCGCGGGCACCGACAGCGGGUGGAACGCCCGCAGGACGAC
Molecule: transfer RNA, 86 nt
Filed under: Streptomyces sp. 1-11
Lineage: Bacteria; Bacillati; Actinomycetota; Actinomycetes; Kitasatosporales; Streptomycetaceae
Description: tRNA-Arg
Source: RNAcentral